This 253-nucleotide ribosomal RNA is filed under the name uncultured bacterium. RNAcentral describes it as "partial 16S ribosomal RNA". It matches the Rfam family "Bacterial small subunit ribosomal RNA", at positions 524 to 776 of the family's 1533-position model. The record is from RNAcentral.
UACAGAGGGGGCAAGCGUUGUUCGGAAUUACUGGGCGUAAAGGGCGCGUAGGCGGCCUGCUAAGUCGAACGUGAAAUCCCUGGGCUCAACCCAGGAACUGCGUCCGAUACUGGUUGGCUUGAAUCCGGGAGAGGGAUGCGGAAUUCCAGGUGUAGCGGUGGAAUGCGUAGAUAUCUGGAGGAACACCGGUGGCGAAGGCGGCAUCCUGGACCGGCAUUGACGCUGAGGCGCGAAAGCCAGGGGAGCAAACGGG